CGGGUCAAAGAGGGGGACCUUCGGGCCUCUCGCGUCAGGAUAUGCCUAGGUGGGAUUAGCUAGUUGGUGAGGUAAUGGCUCACCAAGGCGACGAUCCCUAGCUGGUCUGAGAGGAUGAUCAGCCACACUGGAACUGAGACACGGUCCAGACUCCUACGGGAGGCAGCAGUGGGGAAUAUUGCACAAUGGGCGCAAGCCUGAUCCAGCCAUGCCGCGUGUGUGAAGAAGGCCUUCGGGUUGUAAAGCACUUUCAGUCGUGAGGAAGGUAGUGUAGUUAAUAGCUGCAUUAUUUGACGUUAGCGACAGAAGAAGCACCGGCUAACUCCGUGCCAGCAGCCGCGGUAAUACGGAGGGUGCGAGCGUUAAUCGGAAUUACUGGGCGUAAAGCGCAUGCAGGUGGUUUGUUAAGUCAGAUGUGAAAGCCCGGGGCUCAACCUCGGAAUAGCAUUUGAAACUGGCAGACUAGAGUACUGUAGAGGGGGGUAGAAUUUCAGGUGUAGCGGUGAAAUGCGUAGAGAUCUGAAGGAAUACCGGUGGCGAAGGCGGCCCCCUGGACAGAUACUGACACUCAGAUGCGAAAGCGUGGGGAGCAAACAGGAUUAGAUACCCUGGUAGUCCACGCCGUAAACGAUGUCUACUUGGAGGUUGUGGCCUUGAGCCGUGGCUUUCGGAGCUAACGCGUUAAGUAGACCGCCUGGGGAGUACGGUCGCAAGAUUAAAACUCAAAUGAAUUGACGGGGGCCCGCACAAGCGGUGGAGCAUGUGGUUUAAUUCGAUGCAACGCGAAGAACCUUACCUACUCUUGACAUCCAGAGAACUUUCCAGAGAUGGAUUGGUGCCUUCGGGAACUCUGAGACAGGUGCUGCAUGGCUGUCGUCAGCUCGUGUUGUGAAAUGUUGGGUUAAGUCCCGCAACGAGCGCAACCCUUAUCCUUGUUUGCCAGCACUUCGGGUGGGAACUCCAGGGAGACUGCCGGUGAUAAACCGGAGGAAGGUGGGGACGACGUCAAGUCAUCAUGGCCCUUACGAGUAGGGCUACACACGUGCUACAAUGGCGCAUACAGAGGGCGGCCAACUUGCGAGAGUGAGCGAAUCCCAAAAAGUGCGUCGUAGUCCGGAUCGGAGUCUGCAACUCGACUCCGUGAAGUCGGAAUCGCUAGUAAUCGUGGAUCAGAAUGCCACGGUGAAUACGUUCCCGGGCCUUGUACACACCGC
RNAcentral lists this ribosomal RNA (1214 nucleotides) under Vibrio harveyi. RNAcentral's name for it is "bacterial SSU rRNA". It matches the Rfam family "Bacterial small subunit ribosomal RNA", at positions 197 to 1393 of the family's 1533-position model. Lineage: Bacteria; Pseudomonadati; Pseudomonadota; Gammaproteobacteria; Vibrionales; Vibrionaceae. The record is from RNAcentral.